Long non-coding RNA from Gopherus evgoodei (Goodes thornscrub tortoise), 119 nucleotides. RefSeq lists it as uncharacterized. The transcript is spliced from 3 exons. Lineage: Eukaryota; Metazoa; Chordata; Testudines; Testudinidae. The record is from RefSeq and is a predicted model, not a curated record.
GUGUGCAUAUUUAUAUUAUACGUCUUUUGUCUGGUAAAAAAAGAAUUCCUUGGAACCUAACCACCCCUAUUUACAUUAAUUCUUAUGGGGAAACUGGAGUCACUUAACAUCGUUUCACU